This 230-nucleotide ribosomal RNA is filed under the name uncultured bacterium. RNAcentral describes it as "partial 16S ribosomal RNA". It matches the Rfam family "Bacterial small subunit ribosomal RNA", at positions 567 to 791 of the family's 1533-position model. The record is from RNAcentral.
GUGCGCACGGCGGUUUUUGUUAAGUCUGUCGUGAAAGCCCCCGGGCUCAACCUGGGAAUUGCGAUGGAGACUGCAAGGCUUGAAUCUGGCAGAGGGGGGGUAGAAUUCCACGUGUAGCAGUGAAAUGCGUAGAGAUGUGGAGGAACACCGAUGGCGAAGGCAGCCCCCUGGGUCAAGAUUGACGCUCAUGCACGAAAGCGUGGGGAGCAAACAGGAUUAGAUACCCUAGU